Long non-coding RNA from Daphnia pulex (common water flea), 741 nucleotides. RefSeq lists it as uncharacterized. The transcript has 2 exons. NCBI's taxonomy places the organism in Eukaryota, Metazoa, Arthropoda, Branchiopoda, Diplostraca, Daphniidae. The record is from RefSeq and is a predicted model, not a curated record.
UGGGCGCGAAAGUGAGUUAUGGCGUCGUCUGCACUCUGCCACUUUUAUUGUUGAAGGUGGUCUGGGCGUGAUGGGCCUGUUGAUAAGCGUGGCCUCACUAGCAAAACGUGUGCAGUCAUCCUGAGUUAAGUUAAUAUUCCUCAAUUUUUAAUUUUCUCUCGAUGUUGCAAAUGUAUCAAUGAUAUCAAUUUUUCCUACAUUUUAAUGUCUUAUCUGUAAUAUUUUAGGUAUGCUGGAUUAGUGCUGGAUAAAAACCUUGUUAAUAAGUUUGCACAUCAUACAUUUACCAACAAACAUGGUAUGGAAUAUUAAAAGUUUUGAUUUUGAUUUUAGAAUUUGAUGGUGUGUUGAUUGGCAAACUUUCAUCUCCUGUCCACAUUUUGGCUUACAGUUCUGGCUUGAAUUGAAUCUUAUCAUAAGGAUGUGUACCCGUUAAUAGGUGGACCAGGAAAUGAGAUGCAAUGGCUCACCUGGCGUGUGUGUGUGGUGAUAGACGAUCAAAUUAUUUUCCUCUUUCGUUUCUAUCUUGAGCAGAGUCAUGCCUGCUUGUUUACAGUAAGUAUCAGCCCUCGUCCAGUUUCUUACCUUUCAAGCAUAAUCAAUAAUAUUCCAUAGCUUAAAUGGUUAUCCUAGUCGGUAAAAGAUAUGCAAAUGCUCUAGGACCACACUUACGAAUUUGGAAAAGCAAUAGCAUUUGUCACUCAGUGUCCAGCAGGGCAUGCUUAUGUUGCCUUGGAGAUA